GCAGAUCCUAGGGAAACAAAAAAGCAAGCAAUGUCUGGAUCAGCCUCUCCAAAGAGAAGAAUCCCACCUGUCUGAUUUUUCCAGACUAUUCAGUGCCUUUUGAACGUACGGCCAAAACCUUUGUACAUCAGAAGGAACUGGGUGCCACAUCCCAGACACAAUCUCAUUUCCUUCUAGUAACCAAAGGGGAACAAGAAUCUUGGGACAAUAAGCUAGGGCUACCUACUCCAUACCCAGGCCCUUUUUUCUUUUUUUUUUUAAAGGGCUCCAGCCAUGUAUCUAUAAGAGUUGUCUACUUCCAUUACUGCAUCUCCUGGAAUUGGCUCCUUGCUCUCAAGACCUCCUAGAUACUGAAUGGCUUUCUGACUAUCAGGCUCCAGAUCUCUGAAGACCAAUGAGUUCUACUCUUUAUAGAGAUGUUCAGGAGGGCUUAACCAGCAAUUGUUGGGAUGAGGAAAUAGAAACCCAAGAGCUUGAGUGGUUGGACCAAGGUCCCAAGACCGAGGACUCUAAUCUACAUGUCAGUGCUAAGAACUUCCCACCACAGUAUGCUAAGUCCCUGCAAUCAGUUUCCAGCUUUUUAGAAGUUGCUCCUGACAUCUAUCUGUGGCUGAAACAGAGUGAGGGAGGUAAAGAAGUCUCAUGGACUUUGGUAAGCCAGUGCUCAAAGACAGAAGUUGGUGGAGUUAUUUUCAACAUUCCUCCCAGGACAAGAAAUGGCAUUUCAUCAGACACUUGUUCUUCUCACCUCACAGUGCUCAUGAUGAACACAAGCAAAAAGACCACCAUGAUUGAAUGAAUGAACAGGAGUAACAAGCCAAUAGUUGUUGCAGAGAAUAAGGAGGUAGAGAAUGCUUAAGAUCCUCCAGAACAAGUCAAUACAUCUCAAUAUUUGGUAACAACAGUGCGAAAGUGGAUGUCCGGAGGGGGGGAGGGAAAUGGUGAAGUGUAAGAUUUAAAUUAAUAUCCAAUAAUUCCAAGUAUUAUAUUUUAUAAGAUUUAUUAAUAAUCACUUGAAGUAGAAGAAAAAAGAAAUAGAAGUAAAACUCGCCUGCUUCUCACCUCACCCCACCUCCACAAACCAGGAUCAGGGGAAAAGAAGCCAAGGCGCAGAGCUACACAAAACUUAUAUUCUCCCUACCUCAGCUUGUAAUGUGAGAAGGAACAUGGAAAGCUGGGAUUUAGAGUCCUGGGAAACAAAAUCUAAUUAUAUAGAAAGAAAUGUUCUGGAUUAAAAAAGGAAGAGGCUAAAGGCUUAUUGACAAUAGAAAAGUCUCACACCUAUAAAUCCUAUAUACAUUUUUCAAGAUGAGUUGUAAACCUUGAAUAACAUCACAGAAGAGGAAAAUUAUCUUUAUGGACAGGUUAUUAAUAUAGGAGUCAUUCCUAAUCAGUGAUCUUUCUUCAACUAUACCAUUGGCUUGCCAGAAUAAAAAAUCAAAAUGAGCAGCAGAAGAAAUGAUUUUAAAUUUAGGCAUACCUUAUUUUAUUGCACUUCACAGAUACUGCAGUUUUUACAAAUUAAAAGUUUGAGGCAACCCUGUAUUAAGCAAGUCUAUCAGUGUCAGAUAACAUUGUAUCUCUGUAUCACAUCUGGGUAAUUCUCACACUAUUCAAACUUUUUCAUUAUAUCUGUUAUGGUGAUCUAUGAUCAGUGAUCUUUGAUAUUAUCAACAUAAUUGUUUUGGGGUGCCACAAAGCAUGCUCAUAUAAGACAACAAACAUAAUAGAUAAAUGUUGUGUGUCUUCUGUCUGCUCCAACAACCAGCCAUUCCCAAUCUCUCUCCCUCUCCUCAGGCCUCCCUGUUCUGUGAGAUGUAACAAUAUGAAAAUUAGGCCAAUUAAUAACCCUGCAGUGGCUUCUAAGUAUUUAAAUGAAAGGAAGAGUCAGACAAUGCAGCAAACUUCAUUACUGUCUUAUUUUAAGAAAUUGCCACAGCUCAAAAUAGGGACAUUAAUUCAUUGCUGGUGGAGCUGUGAACUGAUCCAACCAUUCUGGAGGGCAAUUUGGAACUAUGCCCAAAGGGUGCUAAAAGAAUAUCUACCCUUUGACCCAGCCAUAGCACUGCUGGGUCUGUACCCCAAAGAGAUAAUGGACACAAAGACUUGUACAAAAAUAUUCAUAGCUGCGCUCUUUGUGGUGGCCCAAAACUGGAAAAUGAGGGGAUGCCCAUCAAUUGGGGAAUGGCUGAACAAACUGUGGUAUAUGUUGGUGAUGGAGUACUAUUGUGCUAAAAGGAAUAAUAAAGUGGAGAAGUUCCAUGGAGACUGGAACAACCUCCAGGAAGUGAUGCAGAGCGAGAGGAGCAGAACCAGGAGAACAUUGUACACAGAGACAAACACACUGUGGUAUCAUCGAACGUAAUGGACUUCUCCAUUGGUGGUGGUGUAAUGUCCCUGAACAACUUGCAGGGACCCAGGAGAAAAAAACACCAUUCAUAAGCAAAGGAUAAACUAUGGGAGUGGAAACACCGAGAAAAAGCAACUGCCUGAAUACAGAGGUUGAGGGGACAUGACAGAGGAUAGACUCUAAAUGAACACUCUAAUGCAAAUACUAUCAACAAAGCAAUGGGUUCAAAUCAAGAAAACAUGUAAUGCCCAGUGGACUUACGCGUCGGCUAUGGGGGGUGGGGGGGGGAGGAAAAGAAAAUGAUCUAUGUCUUUAACGAAUAAUGCUUGGAAAUGAUCAAAUAAAAUAUAUUAAAAAAAAAAAAGAAAUUGCCACAGCUACUUCAGCCUUCAGCAAUAACCACCCAGAUAUGUCAGCAGCCAUCAACAUGGCAGCAAGAUCCUCCACCGGCAAUGAUGACAAUUCAUUGAAGUUUAGCAUUUUUUAUCAAUAAAAGAUUUUAAAUUAAUGUAUAUGUUAUUUUUGUAGAUGUAAUAUUAGCUCACAUUUGAUAGAUUAUAUCAUAAUAUAGACAUACUUUUAUAUGCACUGAGAAACCAAAAAAUAUAUGUGUCCUGCUUUAUUUACUGUGGUGGUCUGUAAUGAAAUUUGCAAUAUAUCCAAGGUAUGCCUA
Molecule: non-coding RNA, 3023 nt
Organism: Monodelphis domestica (gray short-tailed opossum)
Lineage: Eukaryota; Metazoa; Chordata; Mammalia; Didelphimorphia; Didelphidae
Source: RefSeq, a predicted model, not a curated record